GAUGAACGCUGGCGGCGUGCUUAACACAUGCAAGUCGAACGGAAAGGCUCCUGCUUGCAGGGGUACUCGAGUGGCGAACGGGUGAGUAACACGUGGGUGAUCUGCCCUGCACUUCGGGAUAAGCCUGGGAAACUGGGUCUAAUACCGGAUAGGACGAUGGGUUGGAUGCCAUGGUGGAAAGUUUUUCGGUGUGGGAUGAGCUCGCGGCCUAUCAGCUUGUUGGUGGGGUAAUGGCCUACCAAGGCGUCGACGGGUAGCCGGCCUGAGAGGGUGUACGGCCACAUUGGGACUGAGAUACGGCCCAGACUCCUACGGGAGGCAGCAGUGGGGAAUAUUGCACAAUGGGCGCAAGCCUGAUGCAGCGACGCCGCGUGGGGGAUGACGGCCUUCGGGUUGUAAACUCCUUUCGCUAGGGACGAAGCGCAAGUGACGGUACCUGGAGAAGAAGCACCGGCUAACUACGUG
This 465-nucleotide ribosomal RNA is filed under the name uncultured bacterium. Its description in RNAcentral is "partial 16S ribosomal RNA". It matches the Rfam family "Bacterial small subunit ribosomal RNA", at positions 28 to 507 of the family's 1533-position model. The record is from RNAcentral.